ACCAGAGUGUGCCUUAGCUUUACUCGCUUUAUAGGUGGAUAUUAUGAACACUGCCUCCUACACAAGACACAGGCUGCCAAGAAUGAAACAUGGGCCAUUCAAGUGCUGCAGGAGUUAAUAAGAAAAUGAGUGUGUUUAAAUGUUGCAGAGCCAAGCAUCUACUGCGUGACUGGAUGGACAUUGUCCCUUGAAUUGAAAGCCUGGAGAGAGAGAAACAGAAACAGGAUGCAUGUUUAAUUUCUGGCUAUAUUAUUUUCCAAUUUCUUUCAACCAAUGUGAGCAUUUUUUAAAAACCUAGCAUGUUGAGAUUUGAGUAUGUUUUAUGGAAAUAAAACAGUUUAAAGCUAGCUGUUUGGCAAUUCUACAUAAUUUAUUCACCCUUUCUAGGUGAUAUAUUUCAGCAUAACUGAGUUAGCACAUCAGAUUUCUUCUGAAUGAUGAAGGAAUAAGAGGUCCCAGUUUCUAUGAUUUGUCCUUGUCUUGUGUGUAAGGUAAAGGUAAAGGUUUUCCCCUGAUGAUAAGUCCAGUCGUGACCGACUCUGGGGGUUGGUGCUCAUCUCCAUUUCUAAGCCGAAGAGCCGGCGUUGUCUGUAGACAUUUCCAAGGUCAUGUGGGCAGCAUGACUGCAUGGAGCGCCGUUACCUUCCCGCCGGAGCGAGUCAAUGCUGUUAAAAAACUGCAGCUAGACCGAGGAUGAAGAGAAAAAGGCUGGUCUGGACUGAUGCAAAAGAAGCCUUUGUAAAAAGAAGCUUUGCUGUUAGACACUCUUAAUUGAGGUGCACUGGGAGCCCCCCAGUGGCGCAGUGGGUUAAACCCUUGUACCAGCAGGAUUGAUGACUUGAAGGUUGGGUUGCUGAGCUGAAGGUUGCCAGUUCGAAUCCAACCCGAGGAGAGCACAGAAGAGCUGCUCUAUCAGCUCCAGCUCCAUGCAAGGACAUGAGAGAAGCCUCCCACAAGGAUGAUAAAAACAUCAAAACAUCCGGGUGUCCCUGUGCAACGUCCUUGCAGAUGGCCAAUUUUUCACACCAGAAGUGACUUUCAGUUUCUCAAGUUACUUCUAACAUGAAAAAAAAUCCAGUUGCACUGAUCUAUAUGAAUAUUUUGGCUCUAAGUUGUGUACUUUGUUCUCCACUGCCAUGAAAGGCAUGCAAUCUCUGCACUCCAUUUUACUGUGGCUUCAUGUGACACCAAACAUGUACUCCAUAGAAUUUUCCAAUUCUUUAGAUUACAUUUUUAGGGCACUUUAAUGUCUUCAAGAGUGAACACCAAUUUUGGCAGAAGUAGAAUCAGAUGAAAGUACACAAUUAGAUCCUGCUUUUUAACAAACUUAUUUUUAAAAUGUUCCUUUUGAUCCAAAACAACACAUGCUGUCGUGGCUAUAGCUAUGAUGAUGACUAGUAUAGCAUUGUACAUCAUUAGAUCCUGUUUUUAACCAAUUUAUUUUUAAUGUUCCUUUUGAUCUAAAACAACACAUGCUGUCACUGCUGUAGCUAUGAUGACUAUUAUAGCAUUGUUCAUAACAAAUUAUUAUCAACAAAUUUCAGUUAAGCACAAAUGCUUUUGCCGGCUAUCAGGACAUCUGGUAAGACUAAUGUUAUAUCAGUACCACCAUCAGAGUUAGUCUGACAAUAGUAACUUCUGUGUCUGCCCAUUGCAUAAACUAACAUUC
Anolis carolinensis (green anole) is the source of this 1669-nucleotide long non-coding RNA. RefSeq lists it as uncharacterized. The transcript is spliced from 4 exons. The record is from RefSeq and is a predicted model, not a curated record. Lineage: Eukaryota; Metazoa; Chordata; Lepidosauria; Squamata; Anolidae.